This 488-nucleotide ribosomal RNA is filed under the name uncultured bacterium. RNAcentral describes it as "bacterial SSU rRNA". It matches the Rfam family "Bacterial small subunit ribosomal RNA", at positions 28 to 507 of the family's 1533-position model. The record is from RNAcentral.
GAUGAACGCUAGCGGCAGGCUUAACACAUGCAAGUCGAGGGGUAACAGGAGAAAGCUUGCUUUCUCGCUGACGACCGGCGAACGGGUGCGUAACACGUAUGCAACCUACCCUUAACAGGAAGAUAGCCCAGAGAAAUCUGGAUUAAUACUCCAUAAUAUCUCAUUUUCACAUGGUUAUGAGAUUAAAGCUCCGGCGGUUAAGGAUGGGCAUGCGUCCCAUUAGUUUGUUGGUGAGGUAACGGCUCACCAAGACUACGAUGGGUAGGGGGUCUGAGAGGAUGAUCCCCCACACUGGUACUGAGACACGGACCAGACUCCUACGGGAGGCAGCAGUGAGGAAUAUUGGACAAUGGGCGAAAGCCUGAUCCAGCCAUGCCGCGUGCAGGAUGACUGCCCUAUGGGUUGUAAACUGCUUUUAUAUAGGAAGAAAAACUUUCUCGUGAGAAAGCUUGACGGUACUAUAAGAAUAAGGAUCGGCUAACUCCGUG